GACGAACGCUGGCGGCGUGCUUAACACAUGCAAGUCGAACGGAAAGGCCCUGAUUUUGUGGGGUGCUCGAGUGGCGAACGGGUGAGUAACACGUGAGUAACCUGCCCUUGAAUUAGGGAUAACUUCAGGAAACUGGGGCUCAUACCGGAUAGGAGCUCCUGCUGCAUGGUGGGGGUUGGAAAGAUUCGGCGGUUGGGGAUGGUCUAGCGGCUUAUGCGCUUGUUGGUGGGGUAGUGGAUUACCAAGGCUGUGACGGGUAGCCGGCCUGGGAGGGUGACCGGCGACAAGGGGACUAAGAUACGGCGCAGACUCCUACGGGAGGCAGCAGUGGGGAAUAUUGCACAGUGGGCGGAAGCCAGAUGCAGCAACGCCGCGUUCGGAAUGACGGCCUUCGGGUUGUAAACCGCUUUCGCCUGUGACGAAGCGUGAGUGACGGUAAUGGGUAAAGAAGCACCGGCUAACUACGUG
RNAcentral lists this ribosomal RNA (468 nucleotides) under uncultured bacterium. RNAcentral's name for it is "partial 16S ribosomal RNA". It matches the Rfam family "Bacterial small subunit ribosomal RNA", at positions 28 to 507 of the family's 1533-position model. The record is from RNAcentral.